RNAcentral lists this ribosomal RNA (254 nucleotides) under uncultured bacterium. RNAcentral describes it as "partial 16S ribosomal RNA". It matches the Rfam family "Bacterial small subunit ribosomal RNA", at positions 524 to 776 of the family's 1533-position model. The record is from RNAcentral.
CACGUAGGGUGCGAGCGUUGUCCGGAAUUAUUGGGCGUAAAGAGCUCGUAGGCGGUGUGUCGCGUCGGCCGUGAAAACCUGCAGCUUAACUGUGGGCUUGCGGUCGAUACGGGCAUCACUGGAGUUCGGCAGGGGAGACUGGAAUUCCUGGUGUAGCGGUGAAAUGCGCAGAUAUCAGGAGGAACACCGGUGGCGAAGGCGGGUCUCUGGGCCGAUACUGACGCUGAGGGGCGAAAGCGUGGGGAGCGAACAGG